GACGAACGCUGGCGGCGUGCUUAACACAUGCAAGUCGAACGGAAAGGCCCUGCUUUUGUGGGGUGCUCGAGUGGCGAACGGGUGAGUAACACGUGAGUAACCUGCCCUUGACUGUGGGAUAACUUCAGGAAACUGGGGCUAAUACCGGAUAGGAGCUCCUGCUGCAUGGUGGGGGUUGGAAAGUUUCGGCGGUUGGGGAUGGACUCGCGGCUUAUCAGCUUGUGGGUGGGGUAGUGGCUUACCAAGGCUUUGACGGGUAGCCGGCCUGAGAGGGUGACCGGCCACAUUGGGCCUGAGAUACGGCCCAGACUCCUACGGGAGGCAGCAGUGGGGAAUAUUGCACAAUGGGCGGCAGCCUGAUGCAGCAACGCCGCGUGCGGGAUGACGGCCUUCGGGUUGUAAACCGCUUUCGCCUGUGACGAAGCGUGAGUGACGGUAAUGGGUAAAGAAGCACCGGCUAACUACGUG
RNAcentral lists this ribosomal RNA (468 nucleotides) under uncultured bacterium. RNAcentral describes it as "partial 16S ribosomal RNA". It matches the Rfam family "Bacterial small subunit ribosomal RNA", at positions 28 to 507 of the family's 1533-position model. The record is from RNAcentral.